RNAcentral lists this ribosomal RNA (405 nucleotides) under uncultured bacterium. Its description in RNAcentral is "bacterial SSU rRNA". It matches the Rfam family "Bacterial small subunit ribosomal RNA", at positions 355 to 758 of the family's 1533-position model. The record is from RNAcentral.
UAAGGAAUAUUGGUCAAUGGACGCAAGUCUGAACCAGCCAUGCCGCGUGAAGGAUGAAGGUCCUCUGGAUUGUAAACUUCUUUUAUCUGGGACGAAAACGGGAUUUUUAUCUCAAUUGACGGUACCAGAGGAAUAAGCACCGGCUAACUCCGUGCCAGCAGCCGCGGUAAUACGGAGGGUGCGAGCGUUAUCCGGAUUUACUGGGGUUAAAGGGUGCGUAGGUGGGCUUAUAAGUCAGUGGUGAAAUCUCCGAGCUUAACUUGGAAACUGCCGUUGAUACUAUAGGUCUUGAAUUAUCUGGAGGUAAGCGGAAUAUGUCAUGUAGCGGUGAAAUGCUUAGAUAAGACAUAUAACACCAAUUGCGAAGGCAGCUUACUACAUAUAAAUUGACGCUGAGGCACGAAA